AGCAUAGCAACAGCAGCGUAGCUGAACAUCUUACGGAUGGCCCAGGGCUCCAAAGGCUCGUUUCCUAAGUGAGAGAGAGCCUGGCUGAAGCUGUAUUACCAUUCAUUCUCCAGCCUCCGAAGUCUCAAAGCAUCACUUCCACCAUACUCUAACUGUCAAGACAAACACAAAGGCCCAGAAACUGCCAGACUGUCUUCUGAAGUGGCUAUAAUAUUUACACUCCCAUCAGCAGUGUAGAAGGGGUCUCACUAUGUUGUCUGGAGUGCUGUGGUGGAGUGGAGUGGCUAUUCACAGGAUUCUUGGAAUGGACUGUAAAAGUCUGGAAUCAAGACUUUGUGUUUCCUCUCUAACAUGUAAAGAGCUUAGAAGUUGUCGCUAUUGCCCUUACAACAAAAUGAAGCUGGACAAACUGAAAAUCAAUGACUUUUCUUGGACUCACUAUACAGCUGAGUUUGCAGAGUAAACCACUACCCUGAAAUCUGGAAAGGCAGGUGCACCCACAGAUCCUCAGCUGAGAUCCAAUUACCUGAAAUAGAAGCUGCCAUUAGGAACACUUAAAAGAGCCUGUUCUGCUGGGACACAGAAUCACUUGCUCCAUCUCAUACAUUGAUGAUGAUUAAUUUGUAUGUGUACCUUCCAAAAAAGAUGGUUGUGUUUGAAUGGAGGCCUUCUGGACAGGAAAAUUGCAAAGUACAAUUAACAUUUGAGUCUGUCUGAGUCAUGAAGAAAUGGAGAUUACUGAAAAUAAUUCAUUUUGGUAUCUUCUUACAUCCUGAGAGACUAAUCUUUCCAAGUUCAUCUGAGGCUCCUCUUCUCCAUGACAACCUCAUCCAGGGAUUUCUUCCUGUCCUGGUGUUUUAUGACAUAAUCACAUCCUUCCUGAGAUAAUGAGCACACAAUUGCCUGGAUACCUGAAGGAAUGGAGACAGCGGCAGAAAACACUGCAGAGAGGUGGAAACAUCCGUUAAUAUUUUAAAAUCCCAUUACUGCUACCAACAAUAAUAAUGGAUGCAUAGAAAUAGAUCUGGAUUAGCUGAGCUUGAAACAGUCCAUCUCACACACACACAAAAGAAUUUCAGAUACAGUGAACCCACAUGUUGAAGCUUUCUAGUAUAAUAAAAAUUUCAACUGUUCUGUUGAAUCAUCUGCCUGAUUGGAGGCUACAGAAAAGAUGUCAUCUUAGGAGUGCUUGCUCUGAGUGAGGCUCAUCUUCAAAUCUGAAUGACCACAAGGAGAUUUGAUUAUACAUGUGAACACCUCAGAAGGCACAGCCCACCCAGAAGGCAGACAGGUCAGGCUGCUUUUUCUUCAUUGCUUGGAUUCAAUCCUCCGGGCGGCUCAGGCUCAAACAUAACUUAAGCAUGAUUAAACUUUAGAAGAAGCUGCCAGGAAGACUGUGAAAUCUUCAUGCCCAAGGAUCCCUAAAAUUAGGAGCAACAACCACUUGGCUCAGACGGUUUAUGGAGGCAAAGGUUUGGAUGGGAUUAGAGAUUUCUAAAUGUGAGUUCGUGUCCUCUGCCAGACCACCUUACUUCCACCAUUCCUCAGCAAAUCAAGAAAAACAGGAGAAAAGACAUGCCUUUCCAUAAGUUAAAUCUAUUCUGUUUUAAUUCUAUAUUAUAUCUGCUGUACAACUUCUUUUGUUUGUAACACCAUAUUGUUGCUAGUAACUGGAAAUUAAUUUUCACAUGCCUCAGCUUAGAAAAAUAAAAAGCAGCCCUGCAUCAAUCCCAA
RNAcentral lists this long non-coding RNA (1734 nucleotides) under Homo sapiens (human). RNAcentral describes it as "long intergenic non-protein coding RNA 635". Lineage: Eukaryota; Metazoa; Chordata; Mammalia; Primates; Hominidae. The record is from RNAcentral.